Long non-coding RNA from Salvia splendens (bonfire salvia), 2772 nucleotides. RefSeq lists it as uncharacterized. The record is from RefSeq and is a predicted model, not a curated record. The transcript has 3 exons. NCBI's taxonomy places the organism in Eukaryota, Viridiplantae, Streptophyta, Magnoliopsida, Lamiales, Lamiaceae.
CACAAAAUCUAAUCUGUCAAAAAAAAGAAUGGCAGAUUAUUUUGCAAAUGUGUUUCUGGAAAUCCUUCGUGAAUUGCUGGUUGAGUUUUUUCUUAGUGUGUAAGGUGAUGUUGACAAAGUCAAAGGAGAUUUGAGAAGCAUACAUGCAUUGUUGAUGAAAGCAGAUAGAGAGAGACGUGAUUCUCCAACUCUAAAGCUUUACAUUUCCCAACUCAAAGAUCUCGCUUUCAAAGCUAAGAAUCUGCUCGAAACGUAUGCUGUUGAAGCUCAAUCCAAAAGGGAAGGGUGAAAGAGUCUCAAGGAAAAACUCCAAAGGUACAUUUGCAUCAUUUGUGAGUGCUACAGCGUCCACCAUGUUGGGGACGAGGCUCGCGACAUAAUAUCCACCUUAUCCGGCCUCACUAACAAGUUAGAGUCGGAGUUGGGACAAGAAUGCUCAUCUCUCAUGAAGCAGGACGCUGAGACAGACGUAUGCGCAGGAGGUUGAGCCUCAUUUCGUGGGCAUGGAGAGAGACAUCGCGCUUUUGGUCUCCAAGGUGAAGGAUGAUAAACGGCCCCGAGUAGUGAAGAUAUGGAAUGGGUGGUCUCGGAAAAACUACUCUCGCCAGAAAGGUUUACAACCACAGAGACCUCCAAAGUUAUGCUCGGGCUUGGGUUUGCAUCACCCAACAGUAUCAUCCUAAGGCUGUUUUCGUCAAUAUUUUGAAACAACUCUGCACCAGCAACCAAAAAAUUGAUGACUUGAAAGUUGAGGAUUUGGUGACAAGAAUUCAUAGUUUUUCAAAGGAGAGAAAAUGUUUGGUGGUGAUUGAUGAUAUUUGGAAUAAUGAUGAUUGGGAGAUCAUAAAGCAAGCUUUUCCGGUGAAUUGUAACGUCAUUCUCACCACUCGCUCCCAGAAUAUUGCUAAUCAAGAAUCCGAACCUCAUAAGUUGAAGUUUCUUAUAGAAGAUGAAGGUUGGGCUUUACUUUAAAAAGUAGCAGACUUUUCUCCAGAUUGUGGCAGUUGAUGAAGAUUUAAAAGCAUUUGAACAUAUUUGAAGAGAAAUCGUGUUAAAGUGUGAAGGAUUUUGCACCAAAAAGAGCAAACUUUACUAGACUGGAAAAAGGUAAAUAUGAACAUGGAAACAUAUUUAAGGCAUGGAGAAGGUGUUGAAGAAUAUAGAAGGGUAAAACAAGGGUUGGAGUUGAGCUAUGAUGUCUUGCCUUAUUACUUGAAACCGUGCUUCCUUUAUUUAGCAUGUUUUCCCGAGGAUCACAAGAUUGAUACAGAGAGAUUGUAUUUAUUGUGGAUGGCGGAAGACUUCAUUUCAUAUCAAGAUAAAGGGCCUAACGAGAGCAGAUAUCUAACUGAGCUUGCUAUGAGGUGUAUGGUUCAACUGCAUAAGAGUCAAGUGUACAGCACUCUACAUAAGAAUUUUGAUUCAUGUGGGCUGCAUGAUUUGAUGCAUGAUCUCUGCUCUUCGAAGGCUGAAGAAGAAAAGUUUGUGAAGCGCAUUGAUGCUUCCAAAUAUCUGUGUGGCAUUCCUCCACCAAGGUUAGCACUGCUUCCAUCCAUUUGCAAUUCCAUAAGCAGAUUAGCCAUAAAUUAUGACCUCGAGAAGAGUAUAUCAAGUAUAGAUGGGCUAGAGGAACUUAAUCAUCUUCGUUGUUUAUGCUUCUCCGAAAAGGUAGUUUUCUUGGUUCACAAAUUGUCUUGAAAGAGAAUUCGAUUAACUUUGAGAAGUCGAGAAAUGGUUGAGGAUAUUUGUGGUAGAAGGUUAUGAGUUUGAAAGGGGAAUGUUACCAAGUAAGGUGGGUGAACUAAUUCAUUUAAGAUACUUGAGUUUGAUGUUGUCUAAUGUGAGAGAGCUACCAAAAUCUAUAUGCAGCAUGUUGUACUUGGCUAUCACCCUUGAUUGUUCUCAGAUUGCCAAAUGUGAUUUGGGAGAUGAAAAGACUAAAACAUUUGUUUCUUAGUAGGAGAAUAAAGUUGAUUGGAGAGGAGAAACUAAGACUAGAUGGACUAGAGGAGUUGGAGACAUUAGAAAGUAUCAGUAGUGAGACUACUUGCAUUGAAGAUAUUCCCAAAUUAGUAAGCCUGCAAAGUCUAUAUGUUAAGAGUUUAUGAUGUGGAUAGCCUGUCAAUUGUGUUGAGCAACAAAAAUAGCCAACUACGUGAGACUCAUCUCGUGGUUGAGUCAUGUGAUUUAAGUUCACAGAAAGGUAAUAAAUGAUGGGUUGAUGUCUCCUUCUUUGGUUACUAUGUGGUUCUACAAUUGCAAUAUGAGUGGCAAUUUUCCACACCACAAACAAGGGAUGUGUCAAAAGUUGGGACGAGGGUGUUGUAGAAGUGAUGGAGAUUGGGAAGUAUCCGAUGUUGCAAAGACUCGAGUUAAGGAAAGUAGAGAUGAGAGGAACAUUGAUUUUCCAUUCAAAUUCAUUUCCACAACUAAAGAAGCUUUAUCUUUCUGAUUUGAAAGAUAUGAAGAAAUGGGAAGUGAAAGAAAAAGCAUUGUCAAAACUUACUUUCUUGUCGAUCGAUUCGUGUUGUAAUUUGGAGAAGCUCAUCUCCACUCUUCAAGAGAUAAAAAUCAGGGGCAUGUCAAGUGAAUUCAUGGAGGGAGUAGAGGAAGGAGAUUAUGCCCCACUAGUCAAGAUUUUGAGAUUACCAACAAAACACCUGAUAUUCUUCCCAGAAUGACGUUAUUUCUUCCUGAUUUCUGUUUUCUCAAUUCUGGCGAAUCUCAAAUUAUUUAUUCCAAUGACUUGCUUCUCUCUUUGCAAUUCUUUUC